RNAcentral lists this non-coding RNA (81 nucleotides) under Burkholderia pseudomallei. Its description in RNAcentral is "Burkholderia sRNA 54". It matches the Rfam family "Burkholderia sRNA 54". From Rfam's summary of the family: Identified by RNA-seq, RACE and Northern blot. Strongly expressed in biofilm. The record is from RNAcentral. RNAcentral also lists the same sequence under 1 other name. Lineage: Bacteria; Pseudomonadati; Pseudomonadota; Betaproteobacteria; Burkholderiales; Burkholderiaceae.
CCGUUUCUCGGGUUCUGGCAAUGGCCCUCGGAUAAAGCCGGAACCUUUUUUGGCCGACCUUCGCCGGUCGGCCACUUUCUA